GUUUUUUGCUCUGAUACCUUUUGUGCCUGUUCUGCAAAUACUUUAGAGCAAAAAGAAAAAAACUGAAGUAUCAGAAAAUGAAUGAACUUUGGAAGAGUUUAACAAGAAAUCUGAGUUUGGUGCCUAGCCUCCUGUCCAAGCAAUUACUGUGUGCCUCAGUUCUUUAGAAUUAAAAUGGGAUUAAUGACACCAUUAAAUCACCUGUAAGGCUAAGGGUAUUCAUGUGAUUGAUUAGCAGACCUACAUCAGAAUAAGGUCCAGAGGCAGAAUUGCUGCUGUUUCCUCCUGAGCUUAGGAGCUGAGAUACUGAAGGAUGACAUGAUACAGAGGUGGAGGAUCAAAAAGUCCAUGUGCAUUAUGGGAAUAACAGCACUGGAAGAAAAAAAAAAAUAUCUGUUUUUUACCUCACAAAAUCUUUCAUUAACUGGCAAACAAGGACAAAGUAGAAUAAAAUGUUACUCUCCCUGCCACUGUAAGAGUGAAUGUUCCUGGGCAAUAGGAGAGAAAUCCUGAUUUGUUAAAGUGAAACAAAGCUCUGCUGAAAUGAUCUGCAAAGGUAUAAGAAGAGACAAAAUAUCCCUUCCUUAUAACUUUUUGAUCUCCCAUAUUUCUGGUUUCUCUAUUAACAUUGGCCAGCCACCGUUCCUGUCCUUUUCUCAAUGCUUUUUUCCUUUUCCUGUCAGGUUCCUUCAGCCAUGCUUCUUUUCCAGGUGGAAGACGAAAGAAAGGUACAGAUAGAGAAUCAGGCACCUAAGCGUCAUAAGGCUAAAUAUUUGUUCGCUCACUUAACAUGCAGUAAGUCCUGGAGUGCUCUCUGUUUACCCAAGAGGAUUUCAGCAUAGAGGCUUGCUCCAGAAAGGUAUUUGUUUAGAAAAGAGAAAAAUCCUGCAGAUCAGUGUAAUCUCUGUUACUCUAGGGAGUAGUGAGAGUGUAAUGUGGUGUGGGUGGGGCUUUUCUCCUUAGUAAAGCAACAGCUCAUGGCAAAGACUAAGUGCUAUCAAAUCUAGGAGAGUCAGAACCUCAAUAUCAAGUGUCAGAAACUUUGAAAGUUGAGGGUUUUCAAUCGAUAUUUUAAGAUGUUGCUAAGCAAAAAUUUUAUUUAAGUCAAAAGAAUGGGUUUGAUCCUUCAGGUUUUUCCCUUAUAAACUUCCAGACUAAGGCAGUAGCCACACGACAGGGACAAAAUCCCGUUAUGUUCUUCAGGACAAAUGCCUCUUCCAGAGAUGGAGGAGUAAAGACAAUGGUGCUGAGAACUUAUUUGCUUGUGAACAACUCUGAAUUUUGCUCUACAGAGGGAUCAUAUUGAAGAAUUUUCACCCCAGCUCAGGUUUCACCAUGGUGAGGACAGCACAGUAUAAUAGGUGAAGCCUCUGGAAGACGUCAUACAAGAAAACCUGCCUUUAAAAGGAGGAUAAAAUAUAUGAAAGCUUAAGCAAAUAAUUUUGUUUCAGGUUGAAAGUUAGUUUUCCUUUUUUCAUCCCAUUUUUCAGAUUAAAGUCAGUGAGCAAAAAAC
This 1513-nucleotide long non-coding RNA is filed under the name Cyanistes caeruleus (blue tit). Its description in RNAcentral is "lncRNA (ENSCCEG00000019209.1)". Lineage: Eukaryota; Metazoa; Chordata; Aves; Passeriformes; Paridae. The record is from RNAcentral.